Molecule: ribosomal RNA, 492 nt
Filed under: uncultured bacterium
Lineage: Bacteria
Description: partial 16S ribosomal RNA
Rfam family: Bacterial small subunit ribosomal RNA
Source: RNAcentral
AGUGAACGCUGGCGGUAGGCCUAACACAUGCAAGUCGAACGGCAGCACAGUAAGCGCUUGCUCUUACGGGUGGCGAGUGGCGGACGGGUGAGGCAUAGAUCGGAAUCUACUUUUUCGUGGGGGAUAACGUAGGGAAACUUACGCUACUACCGCAUACGACCUACGGCUGAAAGCAGUGGAUCUUCGCACCUUUCGCGAUUCAUUGAGCCGAUGCCGGAUUAGCUAGUUGGCGGGGUAAAGGCCCACCAAGGCGACGAUCCGUAGCUGGUCUGAGAGGAUGAUCAGCCACACUGGAACUGAGACACGGUCCAGACUCCUACGGGAGGCAGCAGUGGGGAAUAUUGGACAAUGGGCGCAAGCCUGAUCCAGCCAUACCGCGUGGGUGAAGAAGGCCUUCGGGUUGUAAAGCCCUUUUGUUGGGGAAGAAAAGCAGCAGUUUAAUACCCCGCUGUUCUGACGGUACCCAAAGAAUAAGCACCGGCUAACUUCGUG